UACUGAGGGUGCAAGCGUUAUCCGGAUUCACUGGGUUUAAAGGGUGCGUAGGUGGGUUGGUAAGUCAGUGGUGAAAUCCCCGAGCUUAACUUGGGAACUGCCAUUGAUACUAUCAGUCUUGAAUACCGUGGAGGUCAGCGGAAUAUGUCAUGUAGCGGUGAAAUGCUUAGAUAUGACAUAGAACACCAAUUGCGAAGGCAGCUGGCUACACGAAUAUUGACACUGAGGCACGAAAGCGUGGGGAUCAAACAGG
RNAcentral lists this ribosomal RNA (253 nucleotides) under uncultured bacterium. RNAcentral describes it as "partial 16S ribosomal RNA". It matches the Rfam family "Bacterial small subunit ribosomal RNA", at positions 524 to 776 of the family's 1533-position model. The record is from RNAcentral.